Molecule: ribosomal RNA, 253 nt
Filed under: uncultured bacterium
Lineage: Bacteria
Description: partial 16S ribosomal RNA
Rfam family: Bacterial small subunit ribosomal RNA
Source: RNAcentral
GACGUAGGGGGCGAGCGUUGUCCGGAUUUAUUGGGCGUAAAGCGCGCGUAGGCGGCUCGGAAAGUCGAAUGUGAAAAUCCGGGGCUUAACCCCGGACCUGCAUCCGAUACUCCCGGGCUAGAGGCAGACAGGGGAGAGCGGAAUUCCUGGUGUAGCGGUGAAAUGCGCAGAUAUCAGGAGGAACACCGAUGGCGAAGGCAGAUCUCUGGGCCUUACCUGACGCUGAGGAGCGAAAGCUGGGGGAGCGAACAGG